GACGAACCGAGCGAACGUUGUUCGGAAUCACUGGGCUUAAAGGGCGCGUAGGCGGGCCGCCAAGUUCGAGGUGAAAUCCUCCGGCUCAACCGGAGAACUGCCUCGAAUACUGGAGGCCUCGAGGCGGGUAGGGGCAUGCGGAACUGUGGGUGGAGCGGUGAAAUGCGUUGAUAUCCACAGGAACUCCGGUGGCGAAGGCGGCAUGCUGGACCCGAUCUGACGCUGAGGCACGAAGGCCAGGGGAGCAAACGGG
Molecule: ribosomal RNA, 253 nt
Filed under: uncultured bacterium
Lineage: Bacteria
Description: partial 16S ribosomal RNA
Rfam family: Bacterial small subunit ribosomal RNA
Source: RNAcentral